AUGAAUAACAAUUUACUAACAUUUUAUUGUGAGUGGCACAGAAGACCAAAUUUGAAUGCAAAUCCCUGAAUUAGAGCAAGCCAACGUGUUCUACCACUGUAGCCAGGAGUCAGCGCUCUUCCAAGACAGCCUUUCACCAUAAGGGUAAACUGUGGAAGAAGAUCCAGUCUUCACAUUUGCAUACCACUGUGGUAUGCAAAGGAGAAAGGGUUUGUGUUUCAGAGUUCCCCCCAAAAGUCCUGAGAUUCACUCCAUUGGACAGGCAUAGGAGAUGCGCCUGCCCAUGAGUAGACGGCCAGAAAGAUGAAAUGUUCUGACUAGCUUGUCUGAAUUCAUGUUUGACUCACGGGUCUGAGAGACAAGUAAGUGCACCUAAAACCCAUGGGUCUCCAAUGGAAAUAGAGGGUUGCUUGAAACGUGGGACAUGAGAAAUAGAUGGUGAGAAGGAAAAGAAAGUGGCUACUACAAAAGAAUAAAGAAGGGAUCCUGGAUUCUUUCACAGCACUGAGAAGGAAGCAACCUUGCUACAACUUGAUUUUGGACUUCUAGACUCCAAAACGUGAAAGUAUACACUUGAAGGUAAUCAGGACUUCCCUGGUGGCGCAGUGGUUAAGAAUCCACCUGCCAACGUGAGGGACACGGGUUCAAGCCCUGAUCUGGGAAGAUCCCACAAG
This is a non-coding RNA of Delphinapterus leucas (beluga whale), 674 nucleotides long. The record is from RefSeq and is a predicted model, not a curated record. NCBI's taxonomy places the organism in Eukaryota, Metazoa, Chordata, Mammalia, Artiodactyla, Monodontidae.